This 445-nucleotide ribosomal RNA is filed under the name uncultured bacterium. RNAcentral describes it as "bacterial SSU rRNA". It matches the Rfam family "Bacterial small subunit ribosomal RNA", at positions 329 to 792 of the family's 1533-position model. The record is from RNAcentral.
UUCCAGACUCCUACGGGAGGCAGCAGUGAGGAAUAUUGGGCAAUGGGGGCAACCCUGACCCAGCCAUGCCGCGUGAGUGAAGAAGGUUUUCGAAUUGUAAAGCUCUUUCGGAUGUGAAGAUGAUGACGGUAGCAUCUAAAGAAGCCCCGGCAAACUUCGUGCCAGCAGCCGCGGUAAUACGAAGGGGGCGAGCGUUGUUCGGAAUUACUGGGCGUAAAGGGUGUGUAGGUUGACGUGUAAGAUAGCGGUGAAAUCCCAGAGCUCAACUUUGGAAUUGCCAUUAUAACUAUGCGUCUAGAAUUAUAGAGAGGAUAGCGGAAUACCCAGUGUAGAGGUGAAAUUCGUAGAUAUUGGGUAGAACACCGGUGGCGAAGGCGGCUAUCUGGCUAUAUAUUGACACUGAGGCACGAAAGCAUGGGGAUCAAACAGGAUUAGAUACCUCGUA